RNAcentral lists this ribosomal RNA (292 nucleotides) under uncultured bacterium. RNAcentral describes it as "partial 16S ribosomal RNA". It matches the Rfam family "Bacterial small subunit ribosomal RNA", at positions 505 to 796 of the family's 1533-position model. The record is from RNAcentral.
GUGACAGCCGCCGCGGUAAUACGUAGGUGGCAAGCGUUGUCCGGAUUUAUUGGGUUUAAAGGGUGCGUAGGCGGCCCUGUAAGUCUGUGCUGAAAUACCCCGGCUUAACCGGGGGGGUGGCACUGAUACUGCAGGGCUUGAGUAAAGUCGAGGUAGGCGGAAUUGACGGUGUAGCGGUGAAAUGCUUAGAUAUCGUCAAGAACACCGAUAGUGUAGACAGCUUACUAGGCUUUAACUGACGCUGAGGCACGAAAGUGUGGGGAUCAAACAGGAUUAGAAACCCGAGUAGUCC